GAUAUAUUCCAGUUUUGAUUAUCUAACUAUAAUUCUUUUGGUUUACAUCAGGCACUCUGCACUCCAAUGUAUCAAUUUUUUAUGAUCCAUUGAAUUGCAAUAGCUGGGGAUUGGUUGCAGGGUCUUUAUGUCUACUAUCUUUAUAGUCAGUAUGGUUUUGGGAAAGGGGAGAUUGAACAGCUUUUUAUUGCUGGAUUUGGGUCCUCCAUGCUGUUUGGGACAAUUGUUGGAUCUCUGGCUGGCAAACGGUGAGAUUUAUGCUCUGAAUGCAGGGGUCGAAAGAGGGCAUGUGUGAUAGACUGCAUAACAUACAUCUUGAGCUGCAUCACCAAGCACUCUCCUCAAUACAAGGUUUUGAUGGUGGGCCGCAUGAAGGAGUUGGUGCAUUUGUAGUUGUAUGUUACCUGUUUGCAUCUAAGUAAUUCCUAGAGUAUUAGUAGUUCCAGAAAUUAUAUUGGAGUUUUGGUUUUGUAUUGGACUAUGUAGUUGAUGUAGAUAAUAUUAAGUUCUCAAAUUCUUGUAAAAACCCAGGUGCUAACUUGUAAUUUUAACUUCACUUUGGCCAUUGAGCAGUUUGUAAAACAGUGAUGAUUUAAUGGGUCUUGAGAAGCAGUUUUAAUA
This is a long non-coding RNA of Carya illinoinensis, 621 nucleotides long. RefSeq lists it as uncharacterized. The transcript is spliced from 2 exons. NCBI's taxonomy places the organism in Eukaryota, Viridiplantae, Streptophyta, Magnoliopsida, Fagales, Juglandaceae. The record is from RefSeq and is a predicted model, not a curated record.